UACGUAGGGUGCGAGCGUUGUCCGGAAUUAUUGGGCGUAAAGAGCUUGUAGGCGGUUUGUCGCGUCUGCUGUGAAAAUCCGGGGCUCAACCCCGGACUUGCAGUGGGUACGGGCAGACUAGAGUGUGGUAGGGGAGACUGGAAUUCCUGGUGUAGCGGUGGAAUGCGCAGAUAUCAGGAAGAACACCCGUGGCGAAAGCGGCUCUCUGGAACGGUACUGACGCUGAGACGCGAAAGCGUGGGGAGCGAACAGG
RNAcentral lists this ribosomal RNA (253 nucleotides) under uncultured bacterium. RNAcentral's name for it is "partial 16S ribosomal RNA". It matches the Rfam family "Bacterial small subunit ribosomal RNA", at positions 524 to 776 of the family's 1533-position model. The record is from RNAcentral.